Molecule: ribosomal RNA, 600 nt
Filed under: uncultured bacterium
Lineage: Bacteria
Description: partial 16S ribosomal RNA
Source: RNAcentral
UUUCAGGGAUCUUGAGAGCUGGCGUACGGGUGCGGAAACAGUGUGCACUGACUUUAUCUGGGGGAUAGCCUUUCGAAAGGAAGAUUNAAUACCCCAUAAUAUCGUCGAAUGGCAUCGUUCGACAUUGAAAACUCCGGUGGAUCAGAGAUGGGCACGCGCAAGAUUAGAUCAGUCUGGUGAGGUCAACGGAUCACCAAAGUCUACGGAUCUUUAGAGGGGCCUCGACAGAGAGGUAGAUCCCCACAACACUAGGUACUCAGACGACACAGGACCUAAGAACUCCACUUACAGAGAGAAGAGCAAGCAAGUAGAAGAGAAUCAUUAGGACCAAUAGGGUCGAAGAGCCUCAGAUCCAAGCAUUCCCCCGACGUUGAAGGACACGNAAUGACCCUCAUGGGUCGAUCAAACUUCUCUGUGGAUCAUCAGGGCAUAAACCUACCCUCCGUCGAGGGUCAGCUGACAAGGGUCACUUAAUCAACGAAUCAAAGCAACCGGGCUCAAANUCCCAGUGGCCCAGUCAGGCNCGCGGGUUAAUUACACCAGGGAAGAGGUGGCAAAAGGCGGUUCAAUCCCCGGGGGAACUUUCAAUCCAGGAGGAUA